ACUGCAUCUGUUGCCGCUGUUGCAGCUGUUGCAGGUGUUGCAGCUGUGGCAGCUGUGUUGCCGGUGUUGCAGGUGUUGCAGGUGUUGCCGCUGUUGCAGGUGUUGCCGGUGUUGCUGCUGUUGCAGGUGUUGCCGGUGUUGCAGGUGUUGCCGGUGUUGCAGCUGUUGCAGCGUUGCAGGUGUUGCAGGUGUUGCCGCUGUUGCAGGUGUUGCCGGUGUUGCUGCUGUUGCAGGUGUUGCCGGUGUUGCAGGUGUUGCCGGUGUUGCAGC
This is a long non-coding RNA of Notothenia coriiceps (black rockcod), 270 nucleotides long. RefSeq lists it as uncharacterized. The record is from RefSeq and is a predicted model, not a curated record. Lineage: Eukaryota; Metazoa; Chordata; Actinopteri; Perciformes; Nototheniidae. The transcript has 3 exons.